CAGCCGCCACGGGAAUACGUAGGUGGCAAGCGUUGUCCGGAAUUAUUGGGCGUAAAGGGCUCGCAGGCGGUUUCUUAAGUCUGAUGUGAAGGCCCCCGGCUCAACCGGGGAGGGUCAUUGGAAACUGGGAAACUUGAGUGCAGAAGAGGAGAGUGGAAUUCCACGUGUAGCGGUGAAAUGCGUAGAGAUGUGGAGGAACACCAGUGGCGAAGGCGACUCUCUGGUCUGUAACUGACGCUGAGGAGCGAAAGCGUGGGGAGCGAACAGGAUUAGAUACCCCUGUAGUCCCUGUCUCUUAUAC
Molecule: ribosomal RNA, 301 nt
Filed under: uncultured bacterium
Lineage: Bacteria
Description: partial 16S ribosomal RNA
Rfam family: Bacterial small subunit ribosomal RNA
Source: RNAcentral